RNAcentral lists this ribosomal RNA (447 nucleotides) under uncultured bacterium. RNAcentral describes it as "bacterial SSU rRNA". It matches the Rfam family "Bacterial small subunit ribosomal RNA", at positions 29 to 521 of the family's 1533-position model. The record is from RNAcentral.
AACGAACGCUGGCGGCAGGCCUAACACAUGCAAGUCGAGCGCGCCCUUCGGGGUGAGCGGCGGACGGGUGAGUAACGCGUGGGAACGUGCCCUUUGCUACGGAAUAGUCUCGGGAAACUGGGGGUAAUACCGUAUGUGCCCUUCGGGGGAAAGAUUUAUCGGCAAAGGAUCGGCCCGCGUUGGAUUAGGUAGUUGGUGGGGUAAUGGCCCACCAAGCCGACGAUCCAUAGCUGGUUUGAGAGGAUGAUCAGCCACACUGGGACUGAGACACGGCCCAGACUCCUACGGGAGGCAGCAGUGGGGAAUCUUAGACAAUGGGCGCAAGCCUGAUCUAGCCAUGCCGCGUGAGCGAUGAAGGCCUUAGGGUUGUAAAGCUCUUUCGUGGGGGAAGAUAAUGACUGUACCCCAAGAAGAAGCCCCGGCUAACUCCGUGCCAGCAGCCGCGGU